RNAcentral lists this microRNA (25 nucleotides) under Bombyx mori (domestic silkworm). Its description in RNAcentral is "bmo-miR-3311". The record is from miRBase by way of RNAcentral. Lineage: Eukaryota; Metazoa; Arthropoda; Insecta; Lepidoptera; Bombycidae.
GAACUGGCAGGUCCAACCUGGCGCA